AUGAACUUGUUUAGUAAUUUAGAUCUGAUAUGCCACCACAUUAGGGAAGUCUCCUGUUUGAGCUUUCCAGGAAUACUAAUGAAAUGGCACUGUGCUUUGUGGAGAGUGCACUGGCUCUGUAUAAUGCUCAGACUAUUAAGGAUUUUCCUGUUAUGGUUUGGUUUUAUGAUUUAUUUCAAAAUUGUUAUCCUACUCUGCCUGCAAUCUCUGCAAUUAAUACUGGCUCUUCCUCUCUCCUUCCUACCUCACACAUGCCCUCCAGAUCAAAGUUUUUUAAAAAACAAAGUCAAUAGUUUCUCCUUGUUGCAAAGUGUGACCCUGCCCUCUGUUUCAUAAGUAAACACACUGAUUAAGGUCUUUUCCUUCUUAUCAUUCUUCACAAUUAGACAAAUGCUUUCUUGGCAACUCCCCCUCAAGAUUUUUCGCUCCAUGAUUUUUCUUUUGUCUCUCUUACAGGCUCUGCCUGUGCACACGGGACAACUCUGUGUUCUCCUGUUUGCACUGUUGACAACGAGUAGGGACUGAUAAGGUCCUACUAUCAAACUGAUUGUUUCUCCAGGUUCUGUUUCCUCUGGGUUUACGUACUGCAGAGUCCAUUCAGACUUGGGAGGUACCACAGCAGCAUGCUGCGGCUGCCCCUGUGGCUGGUGGUGCUGUGCCCUGCACAGGGACUCUGCUUCUCUGCUGAUCCCAAGGGUCACAAUUUAUUGGCUCCUCUGCAAGCCUCAGGAUUCACGUGGGAAGGUGGGAGUGUGAUGCUGAGUGGAAUGAAUCAAUCCAGCUUCCAUUUUUAACUGCAGUUAUGCUGUUUAUGUUGGGAUGAAGAAACACAUGGUCCUUAGAAAAUCCUGAAGAGCUUCACUUUUACCAUUUGACGUAUUAAUUUUUCCAACUGUGGCUCACUGUGGAGUCAGACUUGUCUCACCAAACCUCAACUGGAGGACCAAGCUGAGCUGUUCUGCUCCUGCCAUGGCAGUGGCAAAAGGCAGACAUGACCUGGAAAUGCCAGGUGGCAGGAGUAAACACACUUUGCUGUCUUCCAGAGACAUACAUGGUAUACUCUAGCACUAGAAGCCAUGAUGUAGUAGGAGGUGCAGAGCCUCCCCCUCACCCCACAAACCUCACAGGAGCUGCGUGAAUCACACAACGUGCUCCAAUUCAUGAGUCACACUAAGUAUACACAAACUGAAUACGGCUGGAACUGCAUGCUUACAAGCUGUGUUUCAGUAGAUCUGUUGUCUAGCUGUGCAAAAGUGGUUUAGUUGUGAUGUCAAUUGUUUUUGGUUUUUGUUAUCCCUGUUAAAGGUCGUUAGAUGGGUAUUUUGUGUUAACAGACAGGAGCACAGAAAUAGGCACUGUCAUUAAUUAACUGUGAAUACCUGUGUCUGAGUUUUGUGUUAUGUUGGGCUCCAUUGUUUUGAUUUCUUUGGGAAACUUCUAAAAGCCAUUGGAUGUUGCUGUCUCUACCAUCAAGAGCAAUUUUCUUCCAGGAAUCUCCUGCACAGCAGUUUCUUGAGAUUUUGUCCGCUUGGGUAGCUGAUGAAGAGUUUUGCCCUGCAACAUCAAGCAGGUUAUGGCUCUCUAGGUGCCAGCCCCCAGUCAGCCAGCACAGUUUAUGCUGUGCUGUCCCUGCAUCUGACCCUGACACCCAGCUGACUUCUGAGCAUCAGGUGGGUGUGUGCUCUUGAUCUUUUUGCAAAGUUCAUAAAUUCAAAGGGUUUUGUUAAGGUAUUGACACAGACUUCCUCACAGUCCAUGUAAGUUCUGAGUCCAUGCCUUGGGAAGCACCCACAUUUUUCUUUUGAAUAUACUGAAACAUCUUAGAUGAUGGACAUUGCUAAGUGUUACAUUUAAAGGAUGACUUUGUAAAGAGACAGAAACAAACUGGCCACACUUUUCUCGGUUUUCUUUAUGGUGUUGAAUAAUCAACAGUUUUGCUGUACCCCAGGUGUUCUUUUGAUUCCAGGUUGAUGCCAUCAUCCACAGCUCAUGUGCUCAUCUCCUGUUUCAGGAAAAGGACUUGGGUAAUUGCCUGAUCACCUUACCCAAACAUCUGUAAUCACCUAGGGCCACCCCACCUCAGAAGUGUUUCAUGUAGCUGAAUUUUUCCAUUGUUUACAUGAUGGGUUGCAAAGGGUGGUUGCCUCAGACAGGUGUGCCUCAUCCUCAGAGACAGAAUUUGUUCAGCUGUGUGUUUUCUUAGAUGACUGUAGUAACAAUCUUCCAGUAGGGAUAUUGAUCCCCUUCCUCCUUUUACUGCCCCACCUCCUACUUCCUCUUCCUUUAGAAUAUUUGCAUUUUUCUGCCAGGACCACUAGGUGUCACAAGUACUCACAACUAUAAAAUCCUCUAAAAUAUUUGUCCAGACAUCUUGAUAUUUCCCUAAUCAAAGGGUCCAAGAAUUUUGAUAUAGACCUGAUGUGUGUGUGGAAGCUGCUGGAUGUAAUAAAAAAAUCAGAUAUUUCAAGCUGGUGCUUAUAGAGCAGAUCAAUGCUAUUUCAUAGCAAACAAUUUGGCAUCUGAGGGAGCUGUACCUGUUGUGGAAAGGCCUUAAUUCAGCUAAUGAAAGAAAACUUAAAAAUUGGACAUGAUCUGAAAGACCAACAGACUGUGUCCAAUACAAGGAAAUAUGCUGGUGAAAC
This 2642-nucleotide long non-coding RNA is filed under the name Catharus ustulatus (Swainson's thrush). RNAcentral describes it as "lncRNA (ENSCUSG00005003565.1)". The record is from RNAcentral. Lineage: Eukaryota; Metazoa; Chordata; Aves; Passeriformes; Turdidae.